Non-coding RNA from Dendrothele bispora CBS 962.96, 98 nucleotides. Lineage: Eukaryota; Fungi; Basidiomycota; Agaricomycetes; Agaricales. The record is from the annotation of a GenBank genome assembly.
UCCCUCUUAGCUCAGUUGGUAGAGCGCGUCACUAGUAUUCAAUGUGAAUUGCAGCAAUUGUAAUGACGAGGUCAGUCGUUCGAGUCGGCUAGAGGGAA